RNAcentral lists this ribosomal RNA (492 nucleotides) under uncultured bacterium. RNAcentral's name for it is "partial 16S ribosomal RNA". It matches the Rfam family "Bacterial small subunit ribosomal RNA", at positions 29 to 507 of the family's 1533-position model. The record is from RNAcentral.
AGUGAACGCUGGCGGUAGGCCUAACACAUGCAAGUCGAACGGCAGCACAGUAAGAGCUUGCUCUUACGGGUGGCGAGUGGCGGACGGGUGAGGAAUACAUCGGAAUCUACUUUUUCGUGGGGGAUAACGUAGGGAAACUUACGCUAAUACCGCAUACGACCUACGGGUGAAAGCAGGGGAUCUUCGGACCUUGCGCGAUUGAAUGAGCCGAUGUCGGAUUAGCUAGUUGGCGGGGUAAAGGCCCACCAAGGCGACGAUCCGUAGCUGGUCUGAGAGGAUGAGCAGCCACACUGGAACUGAGACACGGUCCAGACUCCUACGGGAGGCAGCAGUGGGGAAUAUUGGACAAUGGGCGCAAGCCUGAUCCAGCCCUACCGCGUGGGUGAAGAAGGCCUUCGGGUUGUAAAGCCCUUUUGUUGGGAAAGAAAAGCAGCAGGUUAAUACCCCGCUGUUCUGACGGUACCCAAAGAAUAAGCACCGGCUAACUUCGUG